GACGAACGCUGGCGGCGUGCCUAAUACAUGCAAGUUGAGCGCUGAAGGUUGGUACUUGUACCAACUGGAUGAGCAGCGAACGGGUGAGUAACGCGUGGGGAAUCUGCCUUUGAGCGGGGGACAACAUUUGGAAACGAAUGCUAAUACCGCAUAAAAACUUUAAACACAAGUUUUAAGUUUGAAAGAUGCAAUUGCAUCACUCAAAGAUGAUCCCGCGUUGUAUUAGCUAGUUGGUGAGGUAAAGGCUCACCAAGGCGAUGAUACAUAGCCGACCUGAGAGGGUGAUCGGCCACAUUGGGACUGAGACACGGCCCAAACUCCUACGGGAGGCAGCAGUAGGGAAUCUUCGGCAAUGGACGAAAGUCUGACCGAGCAACGCCGCGUGAGUGAAGAAGGUUUUCGAAUCGUAAAACUCUGUUGGUAGAGAAGGACGUUGGUGAGAGUGGAAAGCUCAUCAAGUGACGGUAACUACCCAGAAAGGGACGGCUAACUACGUG
This 497-nucleotide ribosomal RNA is filed under the name uncultured bacterium. RNAcentral's name for it is "partial 16S ribosomal RNA". It matches the Rfam family "Bacterial small subunit ribosomal RNA", at positions 28 to 507 of the family's 1533-position model. The record is from RNAcentral.